UUGGCGAACGGGUGAGUAACACGUGAGCAACCUGCCCUAUACAACGGGAUAACACAGAGAAAUUUGUGCUAAUACGGUAUAAGACCACAGUAUCGCAUGAUACAGGGGUAAAAGAUUUAUCGGUAUAGGAUGGGCUCGCGACCCAUUAGCUAGUUGGUGAGGUAACGGCCCACCAAGGCAACGAUGGGUAGCCGACCUGAGAGGGUGAUCGGCCACACUGGGACUGAGACACGGCCCAGACUCCUACGGAAGGCAGCAG
RNAcentral lists this ribosomal RNA (259 nucleotides) under uncultured bacterium. RNAcentral's name for it is "partial 16S ribosomal RNA". It matches the Rfam family "Bacterial small subunit ribosomal RNA", at positions 95 to 354 of the family's 1533-position model. The record is from RNAcentral.